AUUCCUUAUUUCAGCCUGGAGACAGCAUCUCAGUUGACUGUCAGCUGACAGGCCUCGUAAACAUGAUGAUGGAGGUGACCUUGAGCAUUGCUACCAGCACACAGGAACCUCUCCUUUUUCUGUGGUGGAAAAGAGAUGAUCAAAGCUGCUUGAACAACAAAACAAAAAGGCAUUGCUUGGAUAUGAACAGCAAAAAAAUAUGGGUAAUGUUUCCUGGCUGUGGACCCAAAUGAAUGAAUCUGUUUUAUUUA
Non-coding RNA from Taeniopygia guttata (zebra finch), 251 nucleotides. NCBI's taxonomy places the organism in Eukaryota, Metazoa, Chordata, Aves, Passeriformes, Estrildidae. The record is from RefSeq and is a predicted model, not a curated record.